CUAUACAUGCAAGUAGAACGCUGAAGAGAGGAGCUUGCUCUUCUUGGAUGAGUUGCGAACGGGUGAGUAACGCGUAGGUAACCUGCCUGGUAGCGGGGGAUAACUAUUGGAAACGAUAGCUAAUACCGCAUAAGAGUAGAUGUUGCAUGACAUUUGCUUAAAAGGUGCAAUUGCAUCACUACCAGAUGGACCUGCGUUGUAUUAGCUAGUUGGUGAGGUAACGGCUCACCAAGGCGACGAUACAUAGCCGACCUGAGAGGGUGAUCGGCCACACUGGGACUGAGACACGGCCCAGACUCCUACGGGAGGCAGCAGUAGGGAAUCUUCGGCAAUGGACGGAAGUCUGACCGAGCAACGCCGCGUGAGUGAAGAAGGUUUUCGGAUCGUAAAGCUCUGUUGUAAGAGAAGAACGAGUGUGAGAGUGGAAAGUUCACACUGUGACGGUAUCUUACCAGAAAGGGACGGCUAACUACGUGCCAGCAGCCGCGGUAAUACGUAGGUCCCGAGCGUUGUCCGGAUUUAUUGGGCGUAAAGCGAGCGCAGGCGGUUAGAUAAGUCUGAAGUUAAAGGCUGUGGCUUAACCAUAGUACGCUUUGGAAACUGUUUAACUUGAGUGCAAGAGGGGAGAGUGGAAUUCCAUGUGUAGCGGUGAAAUGCGUAGAUAUAUGGAGGAACACCGGUGGCGAAAGCGGCUCUCUGGCUUGUAACUGACGCUGAGGCUCGAAAGCGUGGGGAGCAAACAGGAUUAGAUACCCUGGUAGUCCACGCCGUAAACGAUGAGUGCUAGGUGUUAGACCCUUUCCGGGGUUUAGUGCCGCAGCUAACGCAUUAAGCACUCCGCCUGGGGAGUACGACCGCAAGGUUGAAACUCAAAGGAAUUGACGGGGGCCCGCACAAGCGGUGGAGCAUGUGGUUUUAAUUCGAAGCAACGCGAAAAACCUUACCAAGGUCU
Molecule: ribosomal RNA, 952 nt
Filed under: uncultured bacterium
Lineage: Bacteria
Description: bacterial SSU rRNA
Rfam family: Bacterial small subunit ribosomal RNA
Source: RNAcentral